RNAcentral lists this ribosomal RNA (495 nucleotides) under uncultured bacterium. RNAcentral's name for it is "partial 16S ribosomal RNA". It matches the Rfam family "Bacterial small subunit ribosomal RNA", at positions 28 to 507 of the family's 1533-position model. The record is from RNAcentral.
GACGAACGCUGGCGGCGUGCCUAAUACAUGCAAGUAGAACGCUGAAGGAGGAGCUUGCUUCUCUGGAUGAGUUGCGAACGGGUGAGUAACGCGUAGGUAACCUGCCUGGUAGCGGGGGAUAACUAUUGGAAACGAUAGCUAAUACCGCAUAAUAGUAGAUGUUGCAUGACAUUUGCUUAAAAGGUGCAAUUGCAUCACUACCAGAUGGACCUGCGUUGUAUUAGCUAGUUGGUGAGGUAACGGCUCACCAAGGCAACGAUACAUAGCCGACCUGAGAGGGUGAUCGGCCAAAAUGGGAAUGAGACACGGCCCAGACUCCUACGGGAGGCAGCAGUAGGGAAUCUUCGGCAAUGGACGGAAGGCUGAACGAGCAACGCCGCGUGAGUGAAGAAGGUUGUCGGAUCGUAAAGCUCUGUUGUAAGAGAAGAACGAGUGUGAGAGUGGAAAGUUCACACUGUGACGGUAUCUUACCAGAAAGGGACGGCUAACUACGUG